UUGCUCUCUUGGUGGCGAGGGAGAGACGGGGGAGGAAUAUAUCGGAACGUGCCCAGUAGCGGGGGAUAACUACUCGAAAGAGUGGCUAAUACCGCAUACGCCCUACGGGGGAAAGGGGGGGAUCGCAAGACUUCUCACUAUUGGAGCGGCCGAUAUCGGAUUAGCUAGUUGGUGGGGUAAAGGCUCACCAAGGCAACGAUCCGUAGCUGGUUUGAGAGGACGACCAGCCACACUGGGACUGAGACACGGCCCAGACUCCUACGGGAGGCAGCAGUGGGGAAUUUUGGACAAUGGGGGAAACCCUGAUCCAGCCAUCCCGCGUGUAUGAUGAAGGCCUUCGGGUUGUAAAGUACUUUUGGCAGAGAAGAAAAGGCAUCUCCUAAUACGGGAUGCUGCUGACGGUAUCUGCAGAAUAAGCACCGGCUAACUACGUGCCAGCAGCCGCGGUAAUACGUAGGGUGCAAGCGUUAAUCGGAAUUACUGGGCGUAAAGCGUGUGUA
This 500-nucleotide ribosomal RNA is filed under the name Alcaligenes faecalis. RNAcentral describes it as "bacterial SSU rRNA". It matches the Rfam family "Bacterial small subunit ribosomal RNA", at positions 76 to 573 of the family's 1533-position model. The record is from RNAcentral. Lineage: Bacteria; Pseudomonadati; Pseudomonadota; Betaproteobacteria; Burkholderiales; Alcaligenaceae.